AGAGUUUGAUCCUGGCUCAGGAUGAACGCUAGCGACAGGCUUAACACAUGCAAGUCGAGGGGCAGCACAGGUAGCAAUACCGGGUGGCGACCGGCGCACGGGUGAGUAACGCGUAUGCAACUUGCCUAUCAGAGGGGGAUAACCCGGCGAAAGUCGGACUAAUACCGCAUGAAGCAGGGGCCCCGCAUGGGGAUAUUUGCUAAAGAUUCAUCGCUGAUAGAUAGGCAUGCGUUCCAUUAGGCAGUUGGCGGGGUAACGGCCCACCAAACCGACGAUGGAUAGGGGUUCUGAGAGGAAGGUCCCCCACAUUGGUACUGAGACACGGACCAAACUCCUACGGGAGGCAGCAGUGAGGAAUAUUGGUCAAUGGCCGAGAGGCUGAACCAGCCAAGUCGCGUGAGGGAUGAAGGUUCUAUGGAUCGUAAACCUCUUUUAUAAGGGAAUAAAGUGCGGGACGUGUCCCGUUUUGUAUGUACCUUAUGAAUAAGGAUCGGCUAACUCCGUGCCAGCAGCCGCGGU
RNAcentral lists this ribosomal RNA (519 nucleotides) under uncultured Bacteroides sp. Its description in RNAcentral is "bacterial SSU rRNA". It matches the Rfam family "Bacterial small subunit ribosomal RNA", at positions 8 to 521 of the family's 1533-position model. Lineage: Bacteria; Pseudomonadati; Bacteroidota; Bacteroidia; Bacteroidales; Bacteroidaceae. The record is from RNAcentral.